GGUUCGAUUAUGGCUCAGAUUGAACGCUGGCGGAUGCUUUUACAUGUGCAAGUCGAACGGCAGCAUCGGACUUCGGUCUGGUGGCGAGUGGCGAACGGGUGAGUAAUGUAUCGAACGCUUAUAGUGAUAACUACGCGAAAGCGUAGCUAAUACCGCAUACGCCCUUCGGGGGAAAGCGGGGACCCGGCCUCGCACUAUUAGAGCGGCCGAUAUCGGAUUAGCUAGUUGGUGGGUAACGGCUCACCAAGGCGACGAUCCGCAGCUGGUUUGAGGACGACCAGCCACACUGGGACUGGUAUUACGCCCAGACUCCUACGGGAGGCAGCAGUGGGAAUUUUGACAAUGGGGGGAAAUCCCUGAUCCAGCCAUCCCGCGUGUGCGAUGAAGGCCUUCGGAAAAGGUUGUAAAGCACUUUUGGUGGAAAGAAACGGCACGGGAUAAGAUUCUCGCAACUGACGGCACUGCGUGGUAGUUACACCGGCUAACUACGUGCCAGCAGCUGCGUAUACGUAGGGUGCAAGCGUUAACGGAAUUAUCAAGUAAAGCGUGCGUGGUGCGGUUCGGAAAGAAAAGAUGUGAAAUCCUUGUUUAACUUUGGAACUGCAUUUAACUACCGAGCCGAGUGCGUCAGAGGGGCGUAAUUGCAAAAGUACAGUGAAAUGCGUAGAUAUGCGGGAGGAACACCGAUGGUUGAAGGCAGCCUCCUGGGAUAACACUGACGCUCAUGCACGAAAGCGUGGGGAGCAAACAGGAUUAGAUACCCUGGUAGUCCACGCCCUAAACGAUGUCAACUAGCUGCUGGGGCCUUCGGGCUCGGUAGCGCAGCUAACGCGUGAAGUUAUCCUCGCCUGUAGUACGGUCGCAAGAUUAAAACUCAAAGGAAUUGACGGGGACCCGCACAAGCGGUGGAUGAUGUGGAUUAAUUCGAUGCAACGCGAAAAACCUUACCUACCCUUGAUGUUCGGAAUCCCGAAGAGAUUGGGAGUGUCGUAAGAGAACCGGAACACAGGUGCUGUAUGGCUGCCGUCAGCUCGUGUCGUGAGAUGUUGGGUUAAGUCCGCGAAAACGAAGAAAAACCUGCCGUUAUUGCUACGAAAGCGGGCACCUAAUGAGACCGCCGGUGACAAACCGGAGUGAGCGUGGGAUGACGUCAAGUCCUCAUGGCCCUUGCGGGUAGGGCUUCACACGUCAUACAAUGGUCGGGACAGAGGCCGCCAACCGUGAGGGGGAGCCAAUCCCAGAAACCCGAUCGUAGUCCGGAUCGCAGUCUGCAACCGACUGCGUGAAGUUCGAAUCGCUAGUAAUCGCGGAUCAGCAUGUCGCGGUGAAUACGUUCCCGGUCUUGUACACACCGCCCGUCACACCAUGGGAGGGGUUUCACUAGAAGUAGUUAGCCUAAACUGUAAGGAGGGCGAUUACCACGGUAGGAUUCAUGACUGGGGUGGGGCGUCGUAAUAAGGUAG
This 1463-nucleotide ribosomal RNA is filed under the name uncultured Bordetella sp. RNAcentral describes it as "partial 16S-23S ribosomal RNA intergenic spacer". It matches the Rfam family "Bacterial small subunit ribosomal RNA". Lineage: Bacteria; Pseudomonadati; Pseudomonadota; Betaproteobacteria; Burkholderiales; Alcaligenaceae. The record is from RNAcentral.